AAGUCGUAACAAGGUUUCCGUAGGUGAACAUCUCUUCCAGGUUCGCCAGAAUAGAAAGUCUGUAUGAGCAGGCAACAUCUCCACUGUGCUGGGAUUUACAUUUGUAAUACCAGCAGCCUAGCAAUAGGCCCACAGGUCAAAUGGAGGUGGCCCGGAUAGGGUUAAGAUAUGAUCGGGAGGCUGCUAGAAAUUGCAGCUAUACUUCUGCUGCGGAAGGAUCAUUACAGAGAAAUUGCCCUCCGGGGUAGAUCUCCCACCCUUUGUUUAUAUUACCUUUGUUGCUUUGGCAGGCCCGUCUUA
This 300-nucleotide unclassified non-coding RNA is filed under the name Helotiales sp. RNAcentral's name for it is "partial contains internal transcribed spacer 1". Lineage: Eukaryota; Fungi; Ascomycota; Leotiomycetes; Helotiales. The record is from RNAcentral.